ACUUAAAUUGAAGAGUUUGAUCAUGGCUCAGAUUGAACGCUGGCGGCAGGCCUAACACAUGCAAGUCGAGCGGUAGCACAGAGAGCUUGCUCUCGGGUGACGAGCGGCGGACGGGUGAGUAAUGUCUGGGAAACUGCCUGAUGGAGGGGGAUAACUACUGGAAACGGUAGCUAAUACCGCAUAACGUCGCAAGACCAAAGUGGGGGACCUUCGGGCCUCAUGCCAUCAGAUGUGCCCAGAUGGGAUUAGCUAGUAGGUGGGGUAAUGGCUCACCUAGGCGACGAUCCCUAGCUGGUCUGAGAGGAUGACCAGCCACACUGGAACUGAGACACGGUCCAGACUCCUACGGGAGGCAGCAGUGGGGAAUAUUGCACAAUGGGCGCAAGCCUGAUGCAGCCAUGCCGCGUGUAUGAAGAAGGCCUUCGGGUUGUAAAGUACUUUCAGCGAGGAGGAAGGCGUUAAGGUUAAUAACCUUGGCGAUUGACGUUACUCGCAGAAGAAGCACCGGCUAACUCCGUGCCAGCAGCCGCGGUAAUACGGAGGGUGCAAGCGUUAAUCGGAAUUACUGGGCGUAAAGCGCACGCAGGCGGUC
This 592-nucleotide ribosomal RNA is filed under the name Klebsiella aerogenes. Its description in RNAcentral is "bacterial SSU rRNA". It matches the Rfam family "Bacterial small subunit ribosomal RNA", at positions 1 to 580 of the family's 1533-position model. The record is from RNAcentral. Lineage: Bacteria; Pseudomonadati; Pseudomonadota; Gammaproteobacteria; Enterobacterales; Enterobacteriaceae.